UACGUAGGGGGCAAGCGUUGUCCGGAAUCAUUGGGCGUAAAGAGCGUGUAGGCGGUCCGGUCAGUCGGUUGUGAAAGUCAAGGGCUCAACCCUUGAAUGCCGGCCGAUACUGCCGGGCUAGAGUCCGGAAGAGGUGAGUGGAAUUCCUGGUGUAGCGGUGAAAUGCGCAGAUAUCAGGAAGAACACCCGUGGCGAAGGCGGCUAUCUGGACGGUUUCUGACACUAAGACUCGAAAGCGUGGGGAGCAAACAGG
This 253-nucleotide ribosomal RNA is filed under the name uncultured bacterium. Its description in RNAcentral is "partial 16S ribosomal RNA". It matches the Rfam family "Bacterial small subunit ribosomal RNA", at positions 524 to 776 of the family's 1533-position model. The record is from RNAcentral.